UACGGAGGGUGCAAGCGUUAAUCGGAAUUACUGGGCGUAAAGCGCGCGUAGGUGGUUUGAUAAGCGAGAUGUGAAAGCCCCGGGCUUAACCUGGGAACGGCAUUUCGACUGUCAGCUAGAGUAUGGUAGAGGAGUGUGGAAUUUCCUGGUGAUAGCGGUGAAAUACGUAGAUAUAGGAAGGAACACCAGUGGCGAAG
This 197-nucleotide ribosomal RNA is filed under the name uncultured bacterium. RNAcentral describes it as "partial 16S ribosomal RNA". It matches the Rfam family "Bacterial small subunit ribosomal RNA", at positions 524 to 720 of the family's 1533-position model. The record is from RNAcentral.